RNAcentral lists this ribosomal RNA (521 nucleotides) under uncultured bacterium. RNAcentral's name for it is "bacterial SSU rRNA". It matches the Rfam family "Bacterial small subunit ribosomal RNA", at positions 1 to 524 of the family's 1533-position model. The record is from RNAcentral.
GGAUCCAGACUUUGAUUAUGGCUCAGGACGAACGCUGGCGGCGCGCCUAACACAUGCAAGUCGAGCGGGAAGCUUUUUAAGGAUUCUUCGGAUGAAUUAAAAAGUGGAGAGCGGCGGACGGGUGAGUAACGCGUGAGAAACCCGCCCUAUACAGGGGGAUAGCCAUUGGAAACGAUGAUUAAUACCCCAUAUGACCACAGUAUCGCAUGAUACAGCGGUGAAAACUCCGGUGGUAUAGGAUGGUCUCGCGUCUGAUUAGCUAGUUGGUGGGGUAACGGCCUACCAAGGCGACGAUCAGUAGCCGGCCUGAGAGGGUGACCGGCCACACUGGAACUGAGACACGGUCCAGACUCCUACGGGAGGCAGCAGUGGGGAAUAUUGCACAAUGGGCGAAAGCCUGAUGCAGCGACGCCGCGUGAACGAUGAAGGCUUUCGAGUCGUAAAGUUCUGUUCUUGGGGAAGAUAACGACGGUACCCAAGGAGAAAGCACCGGCUAAAUACGUGCCAGCAGCCGCGGUAAU